GACGAACGCUGGCGGCGCGCCUAACACAUGCAAGUCGAACGGAGCUGAGAGAAGCUUGCUUUUCUUAGCUUAGGGGCGAACGGGUGAGUAACGCGUGAGUAACCUGCCCUGGAGUGGGGGACAACAGUUGGAAACGACUGCUAAUACCGCAUAAGCCCACGAUCCGGCAUCGGAUUGAGGGAAAAGGAUUUAUUCGCUUCAGGAUGGACUCGCGUCCAAUUAGCUAGUUGGUGAGGUAACGGCCCACCAAGGCGACGAUUGGUAGCCGGACUGAGAGGUUGAGCCGCCACACUGGGACUGAGCCACGGCCCGGACUCCUACGGGAGGCAGCAGUGGGGGAUAUUGCACAGUGGGGGAAACCCUGAUGCAGCGACGCCGCGUGGAGGAAGAAGGUUUUCGGAUUGUAAACUCCUGUCGUUAGGGACGAUAAUGACGGUACCUAACAAGAAAGCACCGGCUAACUACGUG
Molecule: ribosomal RNA, 468 nt
Filed under: uncultured bacterium
Lineage: Bacteria
Description: partial 16S ribosomal RNA
Rfam family: Bacterial small subunit ribosomal RNA
Source: RNAcentral